GACGAACGCUGGCGGCGUGCUUAACACAUGCAAGUCGAACGGUGAAGGGACCGGUUUUUGCUGGUUCUGGAUGAGUGGCGAACGGGUGAGUAACACGUGAGUAACCUGCCCCCUUCUUCUGGAUAACCGCAUGAAAGUGUGGCUAAUACGGGAUAUUCUGCGCCUGCUGCAUGGUGGGUGUGGGCAAGAUAUUGUUUCGGUGGGGGAUGGGCUCGCGGCCUAUCAGCUUGUUGGUGGGGUGAUGGCCUACCAAGGCGGUGACGGGUAGCCGGCCUGAGAGGGUGGACGGUCACACUGGGACUGAGACACGGCCCAGACUCCUACGGGAGGCAGCAGUGGGGAAUAUUGCACAAUGGGCGCAAGCCUGAUGCAGCGACGCCGCGUGAGGGAUGGAGGCCUUCGGGUUGUAAACCUCUUUCGCCAGUGAAGCAGGCCUGUCCCUUUUGUGGGUGGGUUGACGGUAGCUGGAUAAGAAGCGCCGGCUAACUACGUG
RNAcentral lists this ribosomal RNA (493 nucleotides) under uncultured bacterium. RNAcentral's name for it is "partial 16S ribosomal RNA". It matches the Rfam family "Bacterial small subunit ribosomal RNA", at positions 28 to 507 of the family's 1533-position model. The record is from RNAcentral.